GAGAGAUGAAUUUGAAGAUUACGUAUAUUUUAAAUAACAAAUUAAAAAAAAAAUAAAGACAUUGUGAAUAGUCAUAAUCGCCCUCAUUCAAAUUUAAUCUCUCUAUAAAUGGGAAAAUGCAAUCUUCAUAUACUACAUACAAUUAAGAAAAGAAAGGGAUAUAUAUCAUACAUAUAAAGAGAGAGAUGGAUUUCAAGAUUAAGGUAUUUGCACAAGAUCAGUUAUUCCUCUAUGUAAAUGUCUUGACGUUAAAUCAACAUGUCACCCAACUUGCGAAUCAUGUAAGUGUGUAGAACCUUUGAAGUGUACUUGUCUUGAUUUUAAUGAUUAUUAUAAUAAACUAUAUAAACGAUGUAGGUAAGAAUAAUGAGACAAGUAAUAGUAUUUUUAAUAAUUUCUAGACAAAGUCAUUUAGGCUUGUUUUCAACUAGGAGAAUGAAUAAUUAGAAUAAAAGCUAUUUGGAAGUGCAGUUUGUUUGCCUACAACAUUGCAUGCUAGCUGUGUCAAAAUAUUUUGUUUCUUUUGCAAUGGUGAAAAAAUGUAUGUUUUAAAUGAUUGUUUAUCAUAUACAUAAAAAUAUAUAUUUGAUAUAUAGUGUUGUAUAUGAAAAAAAUAUAUAUAACUUUAUAAUAUUAAGACACUAGUUUGUGUA
Long non-coding RNA from Cicer arietinum (chickpea), 653 nucleotides. RefSeq lists it as uncharacterized. NCBI's taxonomy places the organism in Eukaryota, Viridiplantae, Streptophyta, Magnoliopsida, Fabales, Fabaceae. The record is from RefSeq and is a predicted model, not a curated record.